AUUUGUCUGGUUAAUUCCGAUAACGAACGAGACCUUAACCUGCUAACUAGAUACUUUUAUUCUAUAAAUGUCAUCUUCUUAGAGGGACUAUGUAAUCUAAAUACAUGGAAGUUUGAGGCAAUAACAGGUCAGUGAUGCCCUUAUAUGUCCUGGGCUGCACGCGUGCUACACUGAUGCAUACAACAAGUGCCUAACCAGACAUGGUACGGCAAUCUCGAAUAUGCAUCGUGAUGGGGAUAGAUCUUUGCAAUUAUAGAUCUUGAACGAGGAAUUCCUAGUAAGUGCAAGUCAUCAUCUUGCAUUGAUUAUGUCCCUGCCCUUUGUACACACCGCCCGUCGCUCCUACCGAUACCGGGUGAUCCGGUGAACCUUUUGGACUCAUUGAGAAAGAUAAGUAAACCAUAUCACCUAGAGGAAGGAGAAGUCGUAACAAGGUUUCCGUAGGUGAACCUGCRGAAGGAUCA
Molecule: ribosomal RNA, 464 nt
Filed under: uncultured ciliate
Lineage: Eukaryota; Ciliophora
Description: SSU rRNA
Rfam family: Eukaryotic small subunit ribosomal RNA
Source: RNAcentral